UAUCUCUGUAGAGUCUGCAUAUCAAUAAGCGGAGGAAAAGAAACUAACUAGGAUUCCCUCAGUAACGGCGAGUGAAGCGGGAAGAGCUCAAAUUUGAAAUCUUCAAGGUUCUACCUUGACGAAUUGUAGUUUAAAGAAGUGUUUUCUGUUGGAGUUUUGGUAAAAGUUCUUUGGAAUAGGACAUCAUAGAGGGUGAGAAUCCCGUAUUUGACCAUUAUUUCCAGCUUUGUGAUACACUUUCAAAGAGUCGGAUUGUUUGGGAAUGCAGUCCAAAAUGGGUGGUAAAUUUCAUCUAAAGCUAAAUAUUGGCGAGAGACCGAUAGCGAACAAGUACCGUGAGGGAAAGAUGAAAAGAACUUUGAAAAGAGAGUUAAACAGUACGUGAAAUUGUCAAGAGGGAAGCGUUUGAUCACCAGUGUUGUUUUUCUGAAAAUCAAUUAAAGAACUGUUUAUGCUAAGCUGUUUAGACUUUAUCAGCUAUCUGUUUAGUUUUGAGCUUUUCUUUAAUGCACUUUUCAGUUAACAAGUCAACAUCAAUUUCUUUUGCUGUAAAAAAGCUUGAGGAAGGUGGCUUGAGAUUCGUCUUAAGUGUUUAUAGCCUCUUGCCUAUGCAGUCGGAGAGAUUGAGGUCUGCAGCGUAGAUCCUUUGGGGCUAAAUGCAUUUGUGCUAAGUUAUAGCAUUUUAUAGACAACUUGUUGACUAUGAUUUGUCUUGUAGCUUACCCGCUUAUGUUAUUUUACCUACGCUUAGGAUGUUGACGAUCAGCUGAGCGCG
RNAcentral lists this ribosomal RNA (775 nucleotides) under uncultured Neocallimastigales. RNAcentral describes it as "partial large subunit ribosomal RNA". It matches the Rfam family "Eukaryotic large subunit ribosomal RNA", at positions 24 to 644 of the family's 3401-position model. Lineage: Eukaryota; Fungi; Neocallimastigomycota; Neocallimastigomycetes; Neocallimastigales. The record is from RNAcentral.